Molecule: long non-coding RNA, 1440 nt
Filed under: Monodelphis domestica (gray short-tailed opossum)
Lineage: Eukaryota; Metazoa; Chordata; Mammalia; Didelphimorphia; Didelphidae
Description: lncRNA (ENSMODG00000045003.1)
Source: RNAcentral
ACAGAACUAGCCUUAAAUCCAGGUCUUCUGAUGUUAUAUCUCUUGAAAUAGUCAAUUGUUUCAUUCAUGUCUUACUCUUCAUGACCCUAUUUGGGGUUUUCCUGGUAAAGGUACUGAAGUGAAGUGGUUUACCCUUUUCUUUUUCCAGCUCAUUUUACAAAUGGGGAAACUGAGGCAGGCAAACAUCUAGUAAAUGUCUGAAACCAGUUUUAAACUUUGGGAAGAUAAGUUUUCCUGACUCUAGGCCCAUCUUACUGCCCCAUGUUUCUCUGUUACAUACAAAAAAUACUCUUAAGGGCACCUCCAGUUUUUCUAGAAUCUUGUAGCACAGAAGUUAGAUUUAUGUAUGUAACUUUAACUCUUUUAUUAUACUUCCUGGGAUCUGAUCUUUUUGUAUUUUGAAACCAAAAUCUUUCUUUCUUUUUUUCUGUAUGGGAUUAUAGAUUAAGAGCUAGAAUUUAAAUCUUAAAAUCAUCUAGUCCAACUGCCUUAGUCAAUAGGUGUGGCUACUGACAUCAAAAAGAGGUGUAUGACUCAUACCUAAGGUCAUAGAGGUAGUGAGUGACAGAGCUGAGAGUUGAACCCAUAUCCUUUGACUCCAAAUAUAUAACCUUUACUAUUUGUAGCACCUUACCUAUCCAGGGUUUCUAAGGUUUACCUUUAUUAGUGACAAGAAUAUGAGAACUGUUUUUAUUAAAAGUGAUCAAUCUUCCCCUUCAGAGAAUAUAUCACUGGUUUUACUCUGCUUUGAUAUUUUUGUCUUACAAUAUUGUUUACUAUAGCAAUUUAUGAAUAAGUCAUUCCCCAGGGAAGGAAGAAAAGAAAGGAAGACAAAGAAAAAGAAAGAAAGAAAGAAAAAAAAGAAAGAAAGAAAGAAAGAAAGAAAGAAAGAAAGAAAGAAAGAAAGAAAGAAAGAAAGAAAGAAAGAAAGAAAGAAAGAAAGAAAGAAAGAGAAAGAAAGGAAGAAAGAAAGGAAGGAAGAAAGAAAGGAAGGAAGAAAGAAAGGAAGGAAGAAAGGAAGAAAGGAAGAAAGGAAGAAAGAAAGAAAGAAAGAAAGAAAGAAAGAAAGAAAGAAAGAAAGAAAGAAAGAAAGAAAGAAAGAAAGAAAGAAAGAAAGAAAGGAAGAAAGAAAGAAAUGUAGGAAGGAAGGAAGGAAGGAAGGAAGGAAGGAAGGAAGGAAGGAAGGAAGAAAGAGAAAGAAAAUAAGGGAGGGAGGGAGGAAGGAAAUAAAAAAGGAAAAAAGACAUUGCUCUUACAGAGCUUAUAAUUUAAUGGAAGAGACAAUCAACAAACAACUAUAUACAAACAAUAUAUAUGCAGGAUAAAUUGAAGAUAAUCAGCAGAAGGAAGGACUAGUGAAUCAACUGAUGGAAGAUUUUUAAAAUAAUAUUUAUAAUUUUAAAUAACUUUACUACAAUUAUCUUCUAUCUAUACUAAUAU